CGUUCAUGUUACAUAUUUUGAGGCAAGUGCAGGAUGCAAACUGAUGUGAAAUAUUUCCUAGCAAUUUUCUAGAAUUUAUUUCUUAGAACUUUCCUACAGCAAGAUUGCAAAACUUGUGGACAGUACAAACGGUUGAAAUUUUAGGGGAAAAGGGUUUGAUAUAAACUUUUUUUGUUUUAUUAAAAAUACAUUUUUGUUUUAUGAAAAAGGAAUGGGCCUUAUGCAUUGUUUUGUAUAUCAAAAGAUUUAUUGCUAAAUCAUUCAUAGAAGCAUUACUUAAGACAUCUGAUAUAUGAAUAUUGUAUCAUUCCCAUGUCCUAAUACUAUGCCUGAGUUCAUGUACAUUUACACAUAAAAGAUUAACUAAUGUAAACCUCUGUGUCAUAAGACUGGAUGUACAGUCAUUUAUAAGAAUAAUAUGAUAUGAUAAUAAUAUGAGAAUAAUAUGAUAAAACAUCUAAUUCCUAUAAAUGACUGUAAAUCCAGUCUUCUAUCCAGAGCAAUUUUUAGAUUCUAAGUAGCGUCUAACAAAAACAUAUCAUUAUACUUCAUACAAACACAUCAUACAAGUUCGUAAUGCCAGAAGACAAAGUAUACCAUUGAGAAAUUUUGGGAAUUUCAGUCAUUCAUAAUAGUCAUUAAAUAAGCAAAUCAGGUUUGCCAAAACAACCCCAUAAAUGUUGACAAAUACAAUAAAGACCCUUAUAACAAAAUAAAUGCUGGCAUAUAAACACGGCAAUAUGUUUCUGCAGAUGACAGAAUCACACUAAUAAGGGAAAGAUAGUCAAAGACAGAUACAAGUCAUAUUCUAAGGAUCAGGUAGCUUAUACAUAAGUUCUGUUUGUCACAGCGUCUGCUUCAAAUGCUUCGCCUUGUAUGGCUUGUAUUACAAAAUUGUAUUAAACAUGUAGCACGGAGAAAUAGUCAGUUUUGCUCGAUUUCAUUUUAAUGAAAUACUAAAUAGAUCAAAGCACAUCCACAAAAAAACUCAAAAACUGUCAAAACUUAAUGAUGGUAAGAGAAAACUACAAAUAUUUGACAUUUAACUAAAAAUAAAAAGUAUGAACUUCCAGGCAGAGGCAACCAGGGUUUUCAUUUAAAUGUCCUGAUGCACAGCAUCAUAUGAUUCAUAAUGCAAUUAAUUUUUACUACAGACCCUGGACCACUAGCCACAGAACAUCUAGUAAUGGUGUAUGCAUCAGCAAAGAAUUAGUCAAAGGAAUUUUACAUGGUUACAAGAUCACAUGGUAAUAGGCAGCAAGAGUCUUAAUGUAUUACAAUAUAUACAUUCUCCAAAUUGUAUACAUAUAUUAGAAACAUCUAACUUCCAAACUAUCUCUACGCUGAUUUUUCACAAGUAAAUAAGUCUGUACAAUUAAUUUUUUAUAAAACUUGCACAUGCACACACAUCACAAAUGCACAAAAACACACAGGUCAGAUUAUCGCCAAGCAUCAUACAAUAAUAUACUUCCCAUGUAAUAUAAUAUAAUAUAAUAUAUAAUAAUAUACCUAGUCUUAACAAAGAAACAUUUUAAAAUUGCCAAUAAAUUUACACCUAUAAGUAUUUUUAUUUUUUUUUUAAAUGAAGAACAAUGCUUAUUAGUAGAAGCCUUUAUCAUCCUGAAACCAUCUCCUUCAAUAAACUAACAAUGAAAAUUCUAAAAUUAAAAUUCUAAAAUUUCUAACAAAAAAUUAAACAGCCUAAUCCUUAUUAAACCUUUUACAUUACAGAAACAUUACAGCACUGCCACAUUAUUACUACAAUUACUCCUUUUUUCCAAUUUUCUGUUUGAAUUAAAUACUUUUUUAAACAUAGUCUACAACAAAGGCUCUGUGCUUAAUGCACUUAGCAUCUCCUGACCAAGAUUAGUUAUUUCUGAAAAUGUAAUGAUGAAUGUGAAGCAGAUGUUCACUUGAGUUUAAAACAAAAUCGGCACAAAUUGCUUGUUAGUAUAUCAGCUUGUGUGUAUUGAGAGAAAAACCAAAAAACAUCAAAACACUAGAGCUAAUAAGACGGCAGCAAGGUCCUCUAAACCAUUACUUUUACACUGCAUACUUUACAUAUUUAUCUAGAUAUACAAUACAAAACUGUAUUAAAUAUUAUAGACUAGGCAUGAAAAAAAACUUGACAAUUGCAAAAGGAUUUACAAUAUUGUAAUUAAAUAAAUUUAAAAAUCUCUUGCAUAUGCAGUUAUAUAAAAACACUGAGUUAAAUUACAUUAAAUGGAAUAAAAUUUUUUUAGCACUGAUAAUAUUUAAUAAAUAUAAUGUUAUUUAUUUUAUGCAAGGCUCACUUUUUUUUGUCCAUGGAAAGGAAUUUCAACAAGCUGUAAAGUACAGUUAAAACCUUUAGCCUCACCAUUCACUCUACACUGAACAGACAUAAAGAACAGCUCCAGCAGGCUGAGAAGCAAAGCAUGCCAAUGCUCUCCCCUGGUGGGAAGCUUCGGCUACACAGAAGUUUAUUAAAUUUUAUGAUCUUCCUCGAGUCACGUCUGCUUAUAAGCCACACAAAAGCCGCCCAUCGGGCAAAGUACAAUUAUAUUCACUUCAUUACCACACUGUUGCUAAACUUGAUGCCCCAAUGCCUGCUCUGAUUUGGUAUUAAAGCCUUUCUAUUUCUAUGAUUAAAACUAAAUAUUUAAAAAUAAAUACUAAAGGAAUAAUUUUUAAUCUUUCAAUUGUUUAAAAAUCAGCUUUUCCAGGGAAGAAAAAGCUUGCACUUUUUUACUAAGUAAUAGCCGCAUGCACCGUGUUCAGUCUUACUAGUAACUUAUUCAUAGUUUUAACCAUUGGUAUUUCUAUGCCUUUUUUUACGAUCAUGGAGUAUUUUUUUAAACCUGCUGCACUGUCAACAAAAUAUUGCAUUUUACAAUUAUUCUAUGUGUAUACUGAUCCCAAGAUACUAGCUGUUUUAAUAAGCAGAAUGGAAAGAAGCAUUCAAUUUUAUGUUCUUAUCCUUAUAUGCUUUAUAUGAUUUCAGUAAUACGUUUUGUGUCUUUUUUUUUUUCUUUUGUUAGUAAAACAGUGACAUAGCGACAUGCAGUAUAACCUUGUGAACACAUGCUGAAUUUACCACCAAGCAGCUCAAAUGAGGCAAAUGGAAUAAAAAUGUAUUCCUACUAGUGCAUGUUACAAAUAAUAUAGUGUAUAAUAAGCAGAAUUGUUUUUUGCCUUGAGAAAGAUGUUUGCACAUACUUCUAGGAAAUCAGUUCCAUGUUUGAAAUAACUACUUUCCCUAUUGUUAAGAACUAGUACAAUAGUGCAUGAGGUCCACCACAUCUAAGAUGAAUUUUAGAAAUCCUUUUCAGGACAAUGUUUGAUCUUAAAUUAACGCCAUAAUACAUCCUAAUUAAACUCCUAUCUAUAAACUACAGUUAGUUAACAACAUAAUCAACUUAAUUCUUACAAUGCAACUUCCAUAUGAAAUAAAGGCAGUAAUUAUUCACCAUUUCAGGGAAAAUCUCUCCCGUAAACUGGACAAAUAUUCGAGUAAAAACAAUUGUAAUAUAUAUAAAUUAAACAGGACCGCCCUCUGGAACACCUUUCUAUGCACACAGUACGCCUCUUACGUUAUUAUAUUUAAGCAAACGUGCUCCAAAGAAUUUUCCAACAAAGGGGAUGUGUGCGCCUUUUCGCAAACACAAGCCCCCACCGCAUAACGCUGUAUUCCAGCCAAGCGGCUCUGGGUCUUUUCUAUAGAGGUUAAAACAGGGCAACAUGGGAGUGACGCGGUGUAAAUAAAGCGGAUGCUUGACCAUUCAGCCUGAGCCAGUGAUUGAGCAGGCGGAGGUUAACGCACACUUUCGCCUGGUUACAUCAUUAAAUGCUGCACUUCGGAGCAGAUUCGAGCUUCUUUCAAAGCGCACAAGCGUCGGAGAUGUCGCGCUCGUUGUGCAGUGUGACUGAGACACGCAGCGGCAACCGAAACAAAACUCCGAGAAGAAAACCCGACGGAGGACGAGUUGUAAAGAUGGCGGUGUGUUAAUGUUUGGUGGCUCAGAGAGUACACUGAAGAGGGCAGGCUUCAUCCUGUGGCAGUUCAGGCCAUGUUUUCUGUAUUAGCGUGGAAGAAGAGAGAGCAUCGAUAUAUAGAUAUGGUCAUUUGAAAUUAAUAAUUACGCUCUUUGUAUCUGAAUGAUUUGUACAUUCUUUCAGUUGAUGCGCGGAUCAUUUGCAAACAUAUUUGUAAAACGGGAUUGUAUGUGAUGAUAACAUAAGCGAAUAAAUAAACAAGUGCAAGGAUGAGACAAGACUA
This is a long non-coding RNA of Silurus meridionalis, 4258 nucleotides long. RefSeq lists it as uncharacterized. The transcript has 2 exons. The record is from RefSeq and is a predicted model, not a curated record. NCBI's taxonomy places the organism in Eukaryota, Metazoa, Chordata, Actinopteri, Siluriformes, Siluridae.